UCGGAACGUGCCCUGUAGUGGGGGAUAACUAGUCGAAAGAUUAGCUAAUACCGCAUACGACCUGAGGGUGAAAGUGGGGGACCGGCAAGGCCUCAUGCUAUAGGAGCGGCCGAUGUCUGAUUAGCUAGUUGGUGAGGUAAAGGCUCACCAAGGCGACGAUCAGUAGCUGGUCUGAGAGGACGAUCAGCCACACUGGGGCUGAGACACGGCCCAG
RNAcentral lists this ribosomal RNA (214 nucleotides) under uncultured bacterium. RNAcentral describes it as "partial 16S ribosomal RNA". It matches the Rfam family "Bacterial small subunit ribosomal RNA", at positions 118 to 334 of the family's 1533-position model. The record is from RNAcentral.